This 468-nucleotide ribosomal RNA is filed under the name uncultured bacterium. Its description in RNAcentral is "partial 16S ribosomal RNA". It matches the Rfam family "Bacterial small subunit ribosomal RNA", at positions 28 to 507 of the family's 1533-position model. The record is from RNAcentral.
GACGAACGCUGGCGGCGUGCUUAACACAUGCAAGUCGAACGGAAAGGCCCGGAUUUUGUGUGGUGCUCGAGUGGCGACUGGGUGAGUAACCCGAGAGUAACCUGACCUUGACUUUGGGAUAACUUAAUGUAACUGGGGCUAAUACCCGAUAGAAGCUCCUCCUGGAUGGUGGGGGAGGGAAGGUUUCGGCGGUGGGGGCUGGUCUCGAGGCUUCUCAGCUUGUUGGUGGGGUCGUGGAGAACAAAGGCUUGGACGGGUAGCCGGCCUGCGACGGUGACCGGCCACAUGGGGACUGAGAUACGGCCCAGACUCCAACGGGAGGCAGCAGUGGGGAAUAUUGCACAAUGGGCGGAAGCCUGACGCAGCAACGCCGCGUGCGGGAUGACGGCCUUCGGGUUGUAAACCGCUUUCGCCUGUGACGAAGCGUGAGUGACGGUAAUGGGUAAAGAAGCACCGGCUAACUACGUG